Cygnus olor (mute swan) is the source of this 3723-nucleotide long non-coding RNA. RefSeq lists it as uncharacterized. The transcript has 3 exons. The record is from RefSeq and is a predicted model, not a curated record. Lineage: Eukaryota; Metazoa; Chordata; Aves; Anseriformes; Anatidae.
ACAGACAGACCGGAAGAGAAGCACUGCUGUGAAGUCCUAAAGGCAGAGCAAAGUGAAAUGCGUCCGUGCACAGCGAUGUGCAAAAAAGGGUAUGAACUUCAAGCAGAAAUAAUGUGAUACUCAAAGCAAGCAGGAAGCUACUGAAAGACUGAGGAAGGGACAGAGAUGAACUCUUUCUCUGGGUGAUGAGGAACCAGAGAAGGUGGAAAGAGAUGGGAGCCGAGAGCACAGAGCAAGCAGGAGCAAAUGAGGUAGGUGGCAUCACCUGUGUCUGAAGACAGCCAUGGACAGCUAAGCCAAGAGCAGGAGGGAUCUUGCCCAGCUGGGUGCUGCUUGUUAUCAGUCCUUCAGCAAACAACCCACAGACAAAGGUAGCUGAUGGGAAGCCAGGACUGCACGGCAACAGUCGCCAACUCAUCAGCAAUGCCAUCUAUCAAGCAAGCCUACAAAAAUGACACAUAAUGCUUGAUGCUGAACAUCCAUUAAGACUUGGUGCCAACUCCCUCUAACAAGGUCCUGUUAAUACUGGAUUGACAGGGGGUCCACAAAGCAAGGCUCCCCCAGCAUUCAUUACACUGCUUCCAUACCCAAAAGUCCUCUGUGCCGGCAGAAAAGCUACUGAAGGAGGAAGAUGUCACAGUGAUCUGCUCAGUUGCUUCCCAUUUUGCAGUGAUAGCAGACAGAAGAACCAGCAUAUUGCAACAGGGUUUUAGUGUGUGAAACAGCACUAUUUUGAAUUGGGGGCCGCAUGACUUCUCACCAUCCAAAAUGGAUGCAAGAUCAUGCCUUCCUCUCUCUAGGGAAAACAGGGAGACCCUGGAUAACUAUAGAGACUCAGUACUUUAAAGGGAUGAUCAGCACUAUUUUAAGAGGUGUCCUUAAAAGUUCAUCCCUAGGAUUUUGGUUUCUGGUGCUACAAGAACGUGCUAACAGUCAAGAAUAUGGAAAUAUGAGAUGGUACUCGCUGGAGAAUGACUUCUUGUUAUGGCAGCCUGAGAGAGAAAAAAAUGCAAUGGUGUUGGCAUAUUCUGAACCCAUCUCCAAAGGACUUGCUAUUUCUUUGAUACCAAAAGGCAAGACAUGAGGAAGUCCUUCCAGCGGAAAGAGAAAAAACCCAGUGGGGUGGCAGAAAGAAGUACUGUAAAUAAUUGAUACACUGGAGAGCUGUGCUGCCAUCCAGAGGGAGAACUGACAGGUACGUCAUGAAGCUCAACAAGGAAAGAUACAAAGUACUGCGCCCUGGGAGGAAUAAUCCUAUGCACCAGUACGUGCUCAGGGCUGACUGGCUGGAAAACAGGAUUGUAGAAAAGGAUCUGGGGUCCUGGUGGGCACCAAUUUGACCAUGAGCAUCAAUGGGUCCUUGCUGCAGAGAAGGCUGAUGGUACACAGGGCUGUAUGAGGAGUGAUGCCAGCAGGCAGAGGGAGGUGAGUUGUCCCCUCUGCUCUGCACUGCUGGGUCCAGUUAUGGACUCCUGAGUAUGACAGAAACAUGGAGAUACUGGAAUGAGCCCAAUAAAGGGCCACAAAAAUGUUAAGGGAGUGGAAUGACUCACAUGUGGGGAAGGGCUGUGAGAGCUGGGACUCUUUCUGCCUAGAGAAGGUGGGAGUGGGGCAAAAUCUUGUCAAUGUAUGCAAAAACCUGAGGGCAAGGUGCAAAGAAGAGGUAACCAGGCUUUUGUCAGUGGAGCCCAGUGUCAAGGCAAGAGGCAAAGGGCAGAAACUGAAACGUAGGAGGCUUCAUUUGAAUAUCAGGAAACAUUUUCUUGUGCUGUGAGGGUGACUGAGCACUGGUAUGAGUUGCCAGAGAGGCUGCAGAGUCUCCAUUUGUGGAGAUACUCAAGAGCUGUCUUGUCACGGCCCUGGGACAUUGGCUCUAGGUGGCCUUGUUUGAGCAUGGGGGCUGGACAGGGUGACUUGUAGAGGAUUCUGGGAUUCCCCUCAGUACUCCAUCCCUUGGAGAACUGCUGGCCCUUCCUGCUUCCUGCCAGUGGAUAAUUAACAGGAUGUAGUAAACAUGGCUAAUACAAACAUUGGGUGUUACCUUGAGCAUAUUAGGCAGGCACAAAGAAGAAAUAUUAGCUUUGUACUUGGUCUUAGCAUAAUUACUCCUGGAAUACUGUUCACACUUCUGGUGUGCAUGCUUUGUGGAGUGUUGGGAAAAAUCAGAGGAAGUUCAGAGAAUAAAGAAAAUGACUAAAGCAUGACAGAUUGUGCUCAGCAGCAAAAGAAUCAAAGCAAUUAGUUUAUUUAUUCUGCAAAAGGUAUGGGUUAACUUGAACUAUGUCUGUAAACAGCUACAAGAAAACUGAAACCUGGGUAGAGGUUGGGUCAGCUUCAGACCAGAAUUCAGAAGUCUGGCAGAUUUUUUUUGGCAGUUCUUAAUCCAAAGGGUGGGAGAUGUAGCCCUACCAGUUCAGUCUGGAAAUAAGAUACAGGCUGUUUUUUCUAGGAACCUUCAAACAGGGAUUGGAUUUGUCCCUAAAAUUUCCCUUAGUUUAGUUACAGCAUGAACAUAAGUAGAUCAGAUGCCCUGAAUGGUCCUUUUGGCUAUACUGUUUUUUGGCUAUACUGUUUAUUGGUAUUGAGACUCUUCAAGAAAAGUUAGUAAUUGUAGCAUCAUUUAUCAGUCCCUAACAAAGACUGUCCAUUUAAUUGUUGAUUCUAGUCUCCCGAUCGUUCCUACAAAACUUCAGCACAAGCCCUUUCUGCCAAAGAACACUAGAGGACUGACCUGUCUGGGUUCGCUUGCACCCAAGUCACAUGAUAAAUUUGGUGAUAAUUCAUGCCUUAUUACCCAAAUGACCUAACAGCCACAGAUCUGCCUCACAAGGCUUGUGGACCAAUGUUCAAGAAACAUUUUCAUUAAAAAUAAAGCAUGGAUUAAGUCAGGGAAGCUAAUGAAGAGAAGGGAACUUUGAAAAGUAAGUGUUUCUCUGGUCUGAAAUGAGCUUCCAGAGAGCUCCUUACAGGGCACAGGAGGCCUGGAAAGAGCAGUGUUGGUCUGGUGAGCUUUCUCUGAAACAGAAUGGAUGUUUUCCAAGUGCUCCAUUACUCAUCUAACCAUUUCUGAGUGCUACUAUCAACAGGCCGAGCUGAAAGAUACUUCUUUUUUUUUUUUUUUAAAUCUCAGCAGUGCAUCGAAGGUUUUAUUUAAAUUGCUCUUAUAAAAAAUUAAUGAAGGCAUUAUCUUGCUGGGCUACAAAAUGGCAAGAGUGGAUCCCAGUGAGAUGAAAUCUUCUUAAAAUACAGCUGUCAAAACAUUUUUGUUUUAAUAUAUCCCUGAGUGACUCUAUGCACAUGCACUUCUAAUACAGAACUAGACCAGGAGGAGGAGAAUUUCGUGCAAACCUGCUUCUAACAUGGAGCAAAGCUAGGACUCAACAUGGCAGUAUUUAAAAGGGAACAGACUGCUUAUGAUCCACAGAUGAAGCUGACUCUGAAAGUGGAGGAAGUUUCUCUCCUAAAGGAAGGGGUGGGAUUAGGUAGCAAUCUAUUAGGAAAUGACUUGCCAUCUGACCUUCCCUGAGCUUACCAGUGCAGUGACAGCUUAUUUCCUUGCAUGUCACCUAUGGGCCUGGGAUAUCUGUCCUGUGCUGGGUAGCAGUGACUGCUAGGGAAUUCUGCUUAGGCUUUCUGCCAUGAGUAAAGCCCUGCUAUACUCAUCUUGCUCCCUUUCAGCACUGCUGUUAGCUGCACAGUCAGGAAAUGCAACAGCUUUUCAUC